Salvia hispanica is the source of this 349-nucleotide long non-coding RNA. RefSeq lists it as uncharacterized. Lineage: Eukaryota; Viridiplantae; Streptophyta; Magnoliopsida; Lamiales; Lamiaceae. The record is from RefSeq and is a predicted model, not a curated record.
CUUGACAGCUUGUGUGAUGAUAAGGAUUCUACAAAUCCUAGCAUUUUACUUCCUCCGUCCUGGCUAAGAUGACAAAUUGCUUAGCAAGCACGGGGUUUUAGGAGUUAUUGGUUAAAGUGUUUAAUUGGAGAGAGAGAAGGGAUCAUGGCUGUCAAACUUGGAGCUUUGUGGGGGAGGAAUCGAGGCGAAGAGAGGAAAAGAAGGAUGUAAUCUUUUGUAUAGCUAGGAAGGGUAGAGUAGCUUGGGAUGUGUUGUCCCUUCCAUUUACAUAUUACAACUUGUAUAGCAUGUACCAUUUGUAUCUCCAUCAUUCUUGAAAUAACACUCCUUGAUUCCUAUUUUCUCCAAA